This is a non-coding RNA of Chryseobacterium soli, 94 nucleotides long. The record is from Rfam. NCBI's taxonomy places the organism in Bacteria, Pseudomonadati, Bacteroidota, Flavobacteriia, Flavobacteriales, Weeksellaceae.
GUUUUGCUUUAGGGGUAUUCUGAAAAAGAAUUGAGAGAGUCCCUUUGAACCUGAUACGGCUUACACCGACGUAGGGAAAAGCAAAAAGACAUUC